GAUGAACGCUGGCGGCGUGCUUAACACAUGCAAGUCGAACGGAAAGGCCCAAGCUUGCUUGGGUACUCGAGUGGCGAACGGGUGAGUAACACGUGGGUGAUCUGCCCUGCACUUCGGGAUAAGCCUGGGAAACUGGGUCUAAUACCGGAUAGGACCACAUUUUGGAUGGUGUGGUGGAAAGUUUUUCGGUGUGGGAUGAGCUCGCGGCCUAUCAGCUUGUUGGUGGGGUAAUGGCCUACCAAGGCGUCGACGGGUAGCCGGCCUGAGAGGGUGUACGGCCACAUUGGGACUGAGAUACGGCCCAGACUCCUACGGGAGGCAGCAGUGGGGAAUAUUGCACAAUGGGCGCAAGCCUGAUGCAGCGACGCCGCGUGGGGGAUGACGGCCUUCGGGUUGUAAACUCCUUUCGCUAGGGACGAAGCGUUUUUAUGACGGUACCUGGAGAAGAAGCACCGGCUAACUACGUG
This 467-nucleotide ribosomal RNA is filed under the name uncultured bacterium. RNAcentral's name for it is "partial 16S ribosomal RNA". It matches the Rfam family "Bacterial small subunit ribosomal RNA", at positions 28 to 507 of the family's 1533-position model. The record is from RNAcentral.